Otolemur garnettii (small-eared galago) is the source of this 97-nucleotide unclassified non-coding RNA. It matches the Rfam family "Y RNA". From Rfam's summary of the family: Y RNAs are components of the Ro ribonucleoprotein particle (Ro RNP), in association with Ro60 and La proteins. NCBI's taxonomy places the organism in Eukaryota, Metazoa, Chordata, Mammalia, Primates, Galagidae. The record is from Ensembl.
GGCUGGGUGGAGUGCAGUGGUGUUUGUAACUGAUCACAACCAGUUCGGAUUCCUUUGUUCUUCCUCCACGCCCACUGCUUCACUGGACUAGCCUAAA